GACGUAGGGCGCGAGCGUUGUCCGGAUUUAUUGGGCGUAAAGAGCUCGUAGGCGGUUUGUUGCGUCGGCCGUGAAAACCUGCAGCUUAACUGUGGGCCUGCGGUCGAUACGGGCAGACUUGAGUUCGGUAGGGGAGACUGGAAUUCCUGGUGUAGCGGUGAAAUGCGCAGAUAUCAGGAGGAACACCGGUGGCGAAGGCGGGUCUCUGGGCCGAUACUGACGCUGAGGAGCGAAAGCGUGGGGAGCGAACAGG
Molecule: ribosomal RNA, 253 nt
Filed under: uncultured bacterium
Lineage: Bacteria
Description: partial 16S ribosomal RNA
Rfam family: Bacterial small subunit ribosomal RNA
Source: RNAcentral